Molecule: ribosomal RNA, 465 nt
Filed under: uncultured bacterium
Lineage: Bacteria
Description: partial 16S ribosomal RNA
Rfam family: Bacterial small subunit ribosomal RNA
Source: RNAcentral
CCUACGGGGGGCAGCAGUAGGGAAUCUUCCACAAUGGGCGAAAGCCUGAUGGAGCAACGCCGCGUGGGUGAAGAAGGUCUUCGGAUCGUAAAACCCUGUUGUUAGAGAAGAAAGUGCGUGAGAGUAACUGUUCACGUUUCGACGGUAUCUAACCAGAAAGCCACGGCUAACUACGUGCCAGCAGCCGCGGUAAUCCGUAGGUGGCAAGCGUUAUCCGGAUUUAUUGGGCGUAAAGGGAACGCAGGCGGUCUUUUAAGUCUGAUGUGAAAGCCUUCGGCUUAACCGGAGUAGUGCAUUGGAAACUGGGAGACUGGAGUGCAGAAGAGGAGAGUGGAACUCGAGGUGUAGCGGUGAAAUGCGUAGAUAGAUGGAAGAACACCAGUGGCGAAAGCGGCUCUCUGGUCUGUAACUGACGCUGAGGUUCGAAAGCGUGGGUAGCAAACAGGAUUAGAUACCCGAGUAGUC